Molecule: long non-coding RNA, 1372 nt
Organism: Suricata suricatta (meerkat)
Lineage: Eukaryota; Metazoa; Chordata; Mammalia; Carnivora; Herpestidae
Exons: 2
Source: RefSeq, a predicted model, not a curated record
UGCUCCAAGCCGCUCCGCUCGUCACACUGCAGAGGAGGCAGCCCCUCCGAGGCGCGCUCGCUGGAGGGGGAGCCUUUCUUCUCUCCGCACACGGCCGUCGCAAAGUUUCCUACCACUCGGGGACGAAGGCGGAUCGAGUUCGAGCCUUGCUUCUUCGUCCGGACGACCCGAAAGUGCCAAAAGUCUGGCCGGCGAGCUGCGCCCUCGACUUCCCCAGCAGUCAACCUCUAACGCUUGCCCCUUUCUCGGCCGAGCACGGAUCCGGCGGGUCCUGGGAUGGGGCCAUCGGGAGACCCGGGGAUCUGCCGCCGGCGCCGCGCCCUCCCCUGCCCAGCUCCCGGGGCGCGCCAGCCUUCCCCCCACCCCCGGGAACUUGCCCACUCAGCUGUGUCACUGGAGGCAGAGAGUGGGGGCCCGGCUCCCAAAGGAACAGAGUUCGAGUCCUCACUGGCCACCGAGGGGGGCUUGAUCUUCCCAAGGACUCUGCACAUACCCCAGGGGGGCGCCCAGGGCCAAAAGUGACUUUGGAGUAGACCUGACUUUGUGAAACCUUGAACCCUGGGGUGUCCACGUCCCUUUCUCAUUGAAGAAGUUCAGCCGAGCUGUGGGUUGUGACUGUCCCCCUUCCCGGGCAGGACCCAGCAGCCAAGCAAACGCCAGGGAUGUGGGGAUUUUUUUUUUUAAGACCCACAUCUUAUAAAUGUGAGAUUUUUAUCAGGCAGUACAGAUUACUUAAAGCGCACCAUUUCUCCGCGAUCCAAUUUUAUUAGGAUUUACUCUCAUUUGUGCUCCACUUCUCUGGGGAAAUAAUGCUUUGAUUAAUGUAAUCCUGGCCCGGGAUCCGCCACAUGCCCCUCGCCCCUCUCCCAAGAGAAAGGGCCUGUUUGACAAACAAUAACAGAGCAGUAACUCUUACAAUCUGCCCACACCUUUGGGGGUGGCUGGGGAGAGGGUGACACACGUUCAAACGCCGUUUGCUAAAUGUAAUGGCGAGAGGAAGGAGCUGGCUCUGCAAGGAGCGAACUUUCCACACUUAACGCCCUGGGCUCUGAGGAUGGGGAGCUUUUGGGGAGGGACUUCGGAUGGGGUGCGCGCGUGGGUGCCUGUGCGCGCCUGCCCUCUGAUUGCUCCCAGUGUCUGCCUCUUUGUCCCCUGCCACAGGCCUCCGCCGCAGGGAUCUGCGCGCUCUCCGUGGACAGCACCCGGACCCAGGGCGCGUCCACAGCGCCCACCCGCGGCCCCAGAGCACCUCGAGAGCCAAUCUUAGGAGCUAGCCAGGCACCGAUCCGUGGUACCCUGCUGCUGCCAAAACCUUGGCUGGAAACCUAGAACGUGGGACCAAAUUAAAUGGUUUUCCUCCUGCAUACCUGCA